AAAACCGAAAGUCCCCAGAAAACAACGCGGGUUGCAUAGCCCAGUUCUCAAAACAAGAAACAACAUGAAAAAAUGUGGGAAUUUUUUGCCAAGUUUUGUGGUUAAUGACCGGUAGCCCCUUAUUAGAGAUUAUGCGUGGGGACUGUCCUGAAAUGGAGAGAUAUUGGGGCUCAUUUUCUUGAAGACUGAAAGACUACACACAUGAGGGAGCAAGGAAAUCAUGUUGAGUUUUUAUACAAAAAUAUAAAUGCACAAGUUGAUAUAAAGACACUCAACACAUAUUUAGGACUUCUGGCUUCUACUUCUAAUACUUCAGUCUUCUUCAUACCAAUAUUUAAACCUCUCCACAGCAUUUCUCCAUUUAUUAAAUUCCUCAAAACACCGUUUCCUAUAAAUGUGGUCAGCUGUUGGACUAAAUAAUUUUUGUACUUUAUUAAACUUUUUUAUUUCUUCA
Molecule: long non-coding RNA, 454 nt
Organism: Tribolium castaneum (red flour beetle)
Lineage: Eukaryota; Metazoa; Arthropoda; Insecta; Coleoptera; Tenebrionidae
Exons: 3
Source: RefSeq, a predicted model, not a curated record